This 812-nucleotide ribosomal RNA is filed under the name uncultured Actinomycetes bacterium. RNAcentral's name for it is "bacterial SSU rRNA". It matches the Rfam family "Bacterial small subunit ribosomal RNA", at positions 58 to 847 of the family's 1533-position model. The record is from RNAcentral. Lineage: Bacteria; Bacillati; Actinomycetota; Actinomycetes.
CAAGUCGAACGCGAAAGCGCCCUUCGGGGUGCAAGUAGAGUGGCGCACGGGUGAGUAACACGUAGGUAAUCUACCUUUGGAUGGGGAAUAACAACCGGAAACGGUUGCUAAUACCGCAUAAUGCAGCGGCACCUAAUGGUGACAGUUGUUAAAGCGGGGGAUCGAAAGACCUCGCGUCUGAAGAGGAGCCUGCGGCGGAUUAGCUAGUUGGUAAGGUAAUGGCUUACCAAGGCUAUGAUCCGUAACCGGCCUGAGAGGGCGGUCGGUCACACUGACACUGACAUACGGGUCAGACUCCUACGGGAGGCAGCAGUCGGGAAUUUUGGGCAAUGGGCGAAAGCCUGACCCAGCAACGCCGCGUGAAGGAUGAAAUCCCUCGGGAUGUAAACUUCGCAAGAACAGGAAGAAUAAGUUUGUGCCAACACCACAAGCGAUGACGGUACUGUUUGUAAGCUCCGGCUAACUCCGUGCCAGCAGCCGCGGUAAUACGGGGGGAGCAAGCGUUGUUCGGAUUUACUGGGCGUAAGGGCGCGUAGGCGGCCACCGCAAGUCAGUUGUGAAAUCUCUGGGCUUAACCCAGAAAGGUCAACUGAUACUGCGGGGCUAGAGUGCAGAAGGGGCAACUGGAAUUCUCGGUGUAGCGGUGAAAUGCGUAGAUAUCGAGAGGAACACCUGCGGCGAAGGCGGGUUGCUGGGCUGACACUGACGCUGAUGUGCGAAAGCUAGGGGAGCGAACGGGAUUAGAUACCCCGGUAGUCCUAGCCUUAAACGAUGAAUGCUUGGUGUCUGGGGUUUUAUAGUCCCCGGGUGCC